This 280-nucleotide unclassified non-coding RNA is filed under the name uncultured Gammaproteobacteria bacterium. RNAcentral describes it as "contains 16S-23S intergenic spacer region". Lineage: Bacteria; Pseudomonadati; Pseudomonadota; Gammaproteobacteria. The record is from RNAcentral.
UCCGGUUUAUCACCGGCAGUCCAUGCAGCACCUGUGUCCAGGUUCCCUUUCGGGCACCCCUCCAUCUCUGGAGGGUUCCUGGCAUGUCAAGGGUAGGUAAGGUUUUUCGCGUUGCAUCGAAUUAAUCCACAUAAUCCACCGCUUGUGCGGGUCCCCGUCAAUUCCUUUGAGUUUUAGCCUUGCGGCCGUACUCCCCAGGCGGUCAACUUCACGCGUUAGCUUCGUUACCAAGGAAUUACUUCCCCGACAACCAGUUGACAUCGUUUAGGGCGUGGACUAC